ACAACGGCGCACUUUUGUCCCCGCGCGGGCCCGCCCAGCAGAAGGGACCGGAGAGCCUUGGCUCUCCGCCAGGGAGGUCGGGCUCCCCGCAGGCACCGCAGGCAUCCUUUUUCUUGCCCUUCGCAGGAGGAGUCCUGAGGCUGGGCAGUCGGGAAGUUUCCGUGGCAGCAGCAGCAGCAGCAGCAGCAGCAGCAGCAGUCUUGCAGGGGACCAGCAAGGACGCUGGAGUGAGAUUAGAAAAGCACUUGGGAGGCACAUUCAUCUUGCCGGCGUUGUCAGGAGUGAUCAGCGAGUUUUAUUAAAAGCCCUGGAACUGCCUGAAAAGCCUCCUUGUCUGAGUUUGAAAUGAAAGGGGCAUGUUAAGAUCUUGGGGCACAUUGUGGGGACCCCUUGCCCUGCCCCUUGGACUAUGAGCUAACAUCCCCGGAGGAAGCACAGAAGCCCUCCUUUGUUGAAGGGAUUUCGCCGGUGGACAAAUCGAGCUGGCCCCUGACGGCAUGAGCUCUCCGAGUUGGGGAGGGCCCCGUGCCCUGCUGCUGCCGCCACCGCCGCUGCUGUUGCUGUUGCUGUUGCCAGGCUGGGUCGCCCCCACCUUCAUCAGUGUCAACCGCGGAGUCAGGGUGAUGAAGGGCCGCUCUGCCUUCCUGCUGGGGGAUGACCUGAAGUUUGCCAUCCCCAAAGAGAAAGACGCUUGCAAAGUAGAAGUUGUGAUGAACGAGCCAAUGACCCAGAGGGUUGGGAAACUCACUCCACAGGUCUUUGACUGCCAUUUCCUUCCUAACGAAGUAAAGUAUAUUCACAAUGGUUGCCCGAUUCUUGAUGAAGACUCAGUGAAGCUUAGACUUUACAGAUUUACUGAGACGGAUACCUUCACAGAAACCUUUAUCCUGCGGGUCUAUCUCCUGGAACCAGACUGUAACAUCAUCCGUAUGAGUAACAAUGUACUGGAGGUGUCCGAAUUCUAUGGCCUGUCCCGAGCCAUUGAUAAGAACGUGCUCAGAUUUGAUUACGAGGGGGCGGCCGGCCUGGAGUGCACAGUCAGGCUGGAUUCUGUGGGAAGCCGGCUGCCAGGCCAUGGUCAGGUGGUCCUGCUGGAGCCUCGGUCAGAAAAACCUCGUGGAGAUCAGCCACACAGUUUCUUCCCUGAAUCUCAACUGGGAGCAGAGCUGAAGUGUCCAGGUGGAAGCUGCAGCCUAGGCCUGAAGAAAAUAGAACAUGUCAACGUGAGCUGUGAGGAGUUCCUGCUGAUGGGGCUUCGAUAUCAACACACGGAUCCCCCUUCUCCCAACAUUGAUUACAUCUCCAUCCAACUGGACCUCACGGAUGGCAGGAGUAAAAUCGUGUACAAGUCAGAGGGUGCGUGGUUGCCCGUCUAUAUCAGAGCUGGCAUUCCUAAUCAGAUUCCAAGGGCUGCAUUCAUGGCCAUGUUUAUUCUGGAAGUGGAUCAGUUCAUCCUGACCUCAUUGACCACAUCCGUUCUGGACUGUGAAGAGGAUGAGACGCCAAAGCCCUUGCUGGUGUUCAACAUUACGAAGGCCCCGCCCCAGGGCUACAUGACUCACCUGUGGGAUCACACCAGACCGGUCUCCUCAUUCACCUGGAAAGAUCUAAGUGACAUGCAGAUAGCCUAUCAGCCACCAAACAGCAGCCAUUCUGUGAGGAGACAUUAUGAGGUGGAGGUGGAGGCUUAUGACUUCUUCUUUGGAAGGAGUGCACCUAUUACAGUCCACAUCUCCAUCAGAACGGCAGAUACGAAUGCCCCGCGAGUGUCCUGGAACACAGGUCUGAGUCUUCUGGAGGGGCAGUCUCGGGCCAUCACUUGGGAACAGUUUCAGAUUGUCGACAAUGAUGACCUCCAUGCUGUCCAGCUGGUCACCGUGAGCGGCCUGCAGCAUGGACGCCUUACAGUAAGAGGGGGGAAAGGAUUUCUCUUCACUGUGGCUGACCUUCAGACUGGAGUUGUUCGCUAUCAUCAUGAUGACAGUGAUUCCACCAAAGACUUUGUGGUCUUCAGGAUAUUCGAUGGCCGUCACAGCAUCCGCCAUAAGUUUCCCAUCAACAUUUUGCCCAAAGACGACAGUCCCCCAUUCCUCAUAAACAAUGUAGUAAUUGAACUGGAAGAGGGACAGACCAUACUGAUCCAGGGCUCCAUGCUGAGAGCAUCAGAUAUAGACUCCAGUGAUGACUACAUCUUCUUUAAUAUCACAAAACCCCCUCAGGCUGGAGAGAUCAUGAAGAAGCCAGGGCCAGGGCUGAUAGGCUAUCCUGUCCCUGGCUUCCUUCAGAGGGAUCUAUUUAAUGGCAUCAUUUACUAUCGUCACUUCGGUGGAGAGAUCUUUGAAGACUCUUUUGAAUUUGUCCUGUGGGAUAGCCAUGAACCUCCAAAUCUCUCAGUGCCACAGGUGGUGACCAUCCAUAUUACUCCCGUGGACGACCAGCUUCCAAAGGAGGCUCCUGGAGUGUCUCGGCAUUUGGUUGUCAAGGAAACUGAGGUGGCCUACAUAACUAAGAAACAUCUCCAUUUUAUAGAUACAGAAUAUGACCGAGAGCUUCUCUACACAAUAACGACGCCCCCAUUUUUCUCUUUCAGCCACAGUAGGCAUCUGGAUGCUGGGAAAUUAUUUAUGGUGGAUGGUAUUCCAAAGCUAACCAAAAACCCUGCCAUCCCAGGGCUGAGAUCAUUCACUCAGCAUGCUGUGAACUACAGGAAAGUGGCCUACAUGCCACCCAUGCAAGAUAUAGGACUCUAUCCGGGACAUGUCCAGUUUGCAUUUUCUAUCAGUAACCAGCAUGGGGCCACUUUGCAUGGGCUUUGCUUUAACAUCACGAUUCUUCCAGUGGAUAAUCAAGUUCCCAAGGUAUUUACCAACCCCCUGAGAGUGGCUGAGGGAGAUCAAUGUGUCAUCAGCACAGAGAACAUUCUGGUUUCUGAUGUGGAUACCAAACUGGACAACAUCAACUUCUCCCUACAGAGACUGCCUCAGUGUGGAAUGGUGGAGUUGGAUGGAUUUCCUCUAAACCCAGGGGGCACAUUUUCUUGGGGAGAACUCCAUGCCUUAAAAGUUAGGUAUCGACAUGAUGGAUCUGAGAUACUUCAGGAUGAUAUAUUCUUGGAGGUCACAGAUGGCACCAAUUCAGCAGACUUCAUUCUACAUGUUGAGGUAUUCCCCGUCAAUGAUGAGCCACCAAUCCUCAAGGCUGACCUCAUUCCCAUGAUGCAUUGCUCAGAGGGCGACGAGGUGGUCAUUACAUCUGAAUACAUUUCUGCUACUGAUGCGGACAGUGACGACUUGAGACUGAUGUUUGUGAUUGCCCGAGCACCCCAGCACGGGCUGGUGAGGAAAGGCGGAGUCACAGUGGAUCGGUUCUCUCAGGGAGAUGUCAUCUUGGGGGCUGUGACAUACAAGCACACGGGUGGUGAGAUUGGCUUGGUGCCUUGUUUCGAUACCAUUACAUUGGUGGUUUCGGAUGGAGAAGCUGGUCCUUAUGUGAAUGGCUGUUGCUACAGUGGGCCCCGUCCAUCUGUUCCUCUUCAUGAGUCCUUUCCAGUAUAUGACCUCAACGUCACAGUACAGCCAGUGGACAACCAGUCACCUUCGAUUGCAAUAGGUACCAUGUUCGUUGUAGAUGAGGGUUUCUCAGCAGCCAUUACCAUUAACCAUUUGUCUGCCACUGACCCUGACACUGCAGCAGAUGACUUGGAAUUUGUUUUGGUUUCUCCUCCCCAGUUUGGCUACCUUGAAAACACCCUUCCUUCUGCAGGUUUUGAAAAAAGCAAUAUGGGCAUAAGCAUAGCUUCGUUCCAGUGGAAAGACAUGAAGGCUUCGCACAUUAACUAUGUGCAAUCCAGGCACCUGAGGAUGGAACCGACAGCUGACCAGUUCAUGGUGUACGUCACCGAUGGGAAGCACCGCUCCUUGGAGAUACCAUUUUACAUUACAAUCAACCCCACAAAUGACGAAGCUCCUGACUUUGUAGUGCAGAAUAUUACUGUGUGUGAGGGUCAGAGGAAAGAGCUGGAUACCUCUGUCAUCAAUGCUGCCGAUCUAGACGUUCCCAAGGACCCCUUGCUGCUCAGUGUCACCCAUAAACCACGCCAUGGCCUCCUCAUCAACGGGGUGCUUAGCAAAGACUUUCCUCAAAAUAAGCAGCCUGUCAACCCCAGCCAGAGGCAUGAACUUAUUCACAGCUUUUCCUUGGAACUUCUCGAGAACGGAAUGAAAUUGAUGUAUGUGCAUGAUGACUCAGAGAGCCUUGCUGAUGACUUCACAAUCCAGUUGUCAGAUGGGAAACAUAAGAUAUUAAAAACGAUUUCAGUAGAAAUCACCCCAGUUAAUGAUGAGAAACCAAUGCUGAGAAAGAAGGCUGAAAUUACAGUGAAAAUGGGUGAAGCUCGAGUUAUUUCUAGUGCCAUUCUCUCAGCCAUAGAUGGAGAUUCGCCCAGGGAGAAGAUUUACUAUUUAUUUGAAAGGCUUCCCCAAAAUGGGCAACUUCAACUUAAGAUAGGGAGUGACUGGGUCCCUCUCUACCCUGGUAUGAAGUGCACCCAGGAGGACGUGGAUCUGAACUUGCUGAGAUACACACACACCCGGGCAAUGGAUUCCCAGAACAAAGACAGCUUUACCUUCUACCUCUGGGAUGGUGACAACAGGUCACCGGCAUUUGACUGUCACAUCACCAUCAAGGAUAUGGGAAAAGGCGAUAUUGUCAUCCUCGCAAAACCGCUUGUGGUGUCUAAAGGUGACCGAGGUUUCUUGACAACCGCUGCUCUCUUUGCUGUGGAUGGAACAGACAAACCCGAGGAACUGCUCUAUGUCAUCACUUCCGCUCCGCGGUACGGCCAGGUCGAAUAUGUCCGCUAUCCUGGACUCCCCAUUACAAGCUUCAGCCAGAUGGACAUAGCAGGACAGACCGUCUGUUAUGUACAUAAGAGCAAGGCAGCUGCCUCCCAUGACACCUUCAGAUUCAUCGUCAGCAAUGGGCUGCAGACCAAACAUGGGGUGUUUAAGAUCACACUGGAGACCGUGGACAGAGCCUUACCCGUGGUGACCAGGAACAGGGGGCUGAGACUGGACGAGGGGGGCAUGGGCCUGCUUUCCCCUGACCUCCUCCAGCUGACUGACCCCGACACCCCAGUGGAGAACCUCACCUUUGUGUUGGCCCAGCUCCCACGACACGGCCAGCUUUACCUGCGGGGGACAGUGUUGCUUCAGCACAACUUCACUCAGCAGGAUGUGGACAGCAGGAAUGUGGCCUACAGGCACUUGGGAGGGGACUCCCAGGUUGACUGCUUUACUUUUGUGGCCACAGAUAGGACAAACCAAGGCUUUAUUGUGGACGGGAGAGUGGGACAAGAACCUGUUACAUUCACCAUCCAGGUUGACCAGUUGGACAAAACAGCCCCCCAUAUCACACUCCUGCAUUCCCCUUCUCAAGUGGGGCUCCUGACAAAUGGAUGUUACGGGAUUUACCUCACUUCCCAUGUGUUGAAGGCAUCAGACCCUGACACUGAUGACGACCUGAUCAUCUUUAAAAUUUUACGAGGCCCCCGACAUGGACGUCUGGAGAACACAACAACAGGUGAACUUAUCCGUGAGAAAUUUAUCCAAAAGGACUUAAACAGCAAGACCAUUCUUUACAUCAUAAACGCAUCUUUGGAAGUUAAUUCAGAUAUCCUGGAAUUUCAAAUCAUGGACCCGACAGGGAACUCGGCUGCUGCUCAAACUUUGGAACUGAAGUGGUCUCACAUUGAAUGGUCGCAGGCUGAAUAUGAGGUCUGUGAGAAUGUGGGCAUAUUACCCUUAGAAAUUACCAGAAGGGGAUAUUCCAUGGACUCCGCCUUCGUGAGUGUAAAGGUCAAGCAAGUGUCAGCUACACUUGGAAAAGACUUCACUCUGAGUCCAUCUAAACUGAUUCAGUUUGACCCAGGAAUGUCAACUAAGAUGUGGAAUAUAGCAAUUACCUAUGACGGAUUAGAGGAAGAUGAUGAGGUCUUUGAAGUAAUUCUGAACUCCCCUGUGAAUGCAGUUCUUGGCAUAAAGACAAAAGCGGCAGUGAAAAUUUUGGACUCAAAAGGAGGACAGUGCCGUCCUUCACGUUCCUUCACCCCCAACAAGCACGAUGCGUGGGAGAAGGGCGCUUGGCACCCGCUUUCCCCAGGGUCUUCCUCACCCACCACUUCCGGUUCCUUUCAUCUGGAAAGAAGACCUCUUCCAUCUUCCAGGCGGCCAGUGGUCACCAGGGGAGACAGCCUCCAGGGCUUUGAUUCCACAGAUCUCUCUCGUAUGAAGCUCAGGACCCGAGGGAAUGGCAAAACAGUUCUUCCAUCCUCUGUUUAUAGAAAUGGAACAGACAUCAUCUAUCAUUAUCAUGGAAUGGUUUCCCUGAAGCUGGAAGAUGACAGUUCCCCAUCUCACAAAAGGAAGGCCAAAGUCUCCAAUAUUAGUCAGCCACAGAAGACAAGCCAAGGGGCAGAAUUGCCCCAGGCAGAUAAGAUGGAAUCCACAACUGGCUCACACUUACCCAGACAGGCCCACCUGCCUUCAUUUCCAAAGAACUGCACACUGCAAUUAAAGGGACUCUUCCACUUCCAAGAAAGCCUCCGCCAGCUGUACAAGUGUGAUGGGAUUACCUGGAGAGCCUGGAGCCCCCAAAGUGAGGAGGUGGAAGGUAAAUCCUGCCCAGCUGGGUGGCACCGUCACUCAGACUACUGCCACUCCGUGAUCACAGAGCAGAGAGGCACCUGGGACAUGGCGGCCCGAGCUUGCAAAGAACAUCACCUGGGCAGCCUUGUAACUGUACUUUCCAAGAAGCAUAUGCAGUGGUUGUGGGACCUCAGUGGAAGAAAGCCCUUUUGGAUAGGCAAGUGUCUGCUCUGCACUGAAGGAGGCCAGAACACCAACAAGGCGCCUCCCUCCCAUGGCCCAAAUAAUCGUGGUUUACAGUAACAGGCAACAGUUAGAUGGUUGGGUAGCUUAUUUUCUCUUUUUUGGAGGGGGCACCCAGUGGAUGGUCUGUCUUUUAAAACCCAUCUUAAUUACAUAAUACUUUCAUUUUUUGACAUCUAUCUCAGAGAAAUAAUAAGGGAUGUGGCUUGGAUUAUAGCCAACCUUUAGUUACAUGGCUUUCAUCCAUCUACUUAGCCACCCAUCCAUCCAUCCAUCUACCGUUUAUUCAACAAAUAUUGAAUAUUGCAUGCUGAUC
Molecule: RNA transcript, 7203 nt
Organism: Hyaena hyaena (striped hyena)
Lineage: Eukaryota; Metazoa; Chordata; Mammalia; Carnivora; Hyaenidae
Gene: FREM1
Gene name: FRAS1 related extracellular matrix 1
Exons: 37
Source: RefSeq, a predicted model, not a curated record